RNAcentral lists this ribosomal RNA (465 nucleotides) under uncultured bacterium. RNAcentral's name for it is "partial 16S ribosomal RNA". It matches the Rfam family "Bacterial small subunit ribosomal RNA", at positions 338 to 795 of the family's 1533-position model. The record is from RNAcentral.
CCUACGGGAGGCAGCAGUAGGGAAUCUUCCACAAUGGGCGAAAGCCUGAUGGAGCAACGCCGCGGGGGUGAAGAAGGUCUUCGGAUCGUAAAACCCUGUUGUUAGAGAAGAAAGUGCAUGAGACUAACUGUUCACGUUUCGACGGUAUCUAACCAGAAAGCCACGGCUAACUACGUGCCAGCAGCCGCGGUAAUACGUAGGUGGCAAGCGUUAUCCGGAUUGAUUGGGAGUAAAGGGAACGCAGGCGGUCUUUUAAGUCUGAUGUGAAAGCCUUCGGCUUAACCGGAGUAGUGCAUUGGAAACUGGGAGACUUGAGUGCAGAAGAGGAGAGUGGAACUCCAUGUGUAGCGGUGAAAUGCGUAGAUAUAUGGAAGAACACCAGUGGCGAAAGCGUCUCUCUGGUCUGUAACUGACGCUGAGGUUCGAAAGCGUGGGUAGCAAACAGGAUUAGAUACCCGAGUAGUC